AGCUGGUCUAUUAACCGAAGGUCAUUUACCAGGAGAACUGAAAGAGGAAGUUACUUUCGAAUUUGAUAAGUAAAGAAAUGGCGUAAAUUUGCCCGAUUUAGGUACAUGUCCAGCUUAUCUUUUACCAUCAUUUUUUCCCUAAUAUGUGGAAUAUGUCAUUAGUGGUCUAACUGAAAUUUUAUAUCCAUCUAUCCUGGAAAAUAUUUCUCAUCACCUGCCUCAGAGCAAGUUGGUUGAAGGAAGGUAUAUUUUUUGCCGAGUUUGAUUAUCCAAAUAUUGUUGUCAGUUCCAAAAAAUGGGAACUUUCAUUGCUCUUUUGAUCUAUUGUAGAGGAGGUAUGGAGUUUUCUGAUUGAGGAGGAGCCAAAUGUUCAUUGAUUCUGAUUUUUCUCUUCCCUAAAUUGGAUGUAAACUUUCAGAAGAGAUAACUGAGGGUUGUAGUUUGAUUUUUGUUAAUUUCUUGUUAAUGGGAAAUUGUACAUUUAACACUGGAUAUGGGAAUUAAAACUUUGAGG
RNAcentral lists this long non-coding RNA (514 nucleotides) under Panax ginseng (ginseng). RNAcentral describes it as "long non-coding RNA (PGIN_LNC004418)". The record is from RNAcentral. Lineage: Eukaryota; Viridiplantae; Streptophyta; Magnoliopsida; Apiales; Araliaceae.